AUAAGUUAUAUAACUGUUAUUCCGCAGAACAUCAAUUUGCAAAGUACCCAGCUAGCACAAUAGCAGCAUCGAGUAUAGCCGCUUCAAUGCGUGGGCUAAAAUGGCAUCUUCGCACAGGCCAUAGUCUUCCCUUUUUAUUAGGUCUACUUACGGACUUAACCAGCAUCGAACAAGUUCAACUGCAAGAGUGUAUGUUGCAUAUGGAGAACAUUUUUGAAGAGCACAGUCGCAACCUGCAGCCGUUUUUUGUUGACAUUCAACCUCCUAACUCUGCAAAAAUGUACUGCCAGAGACGUAAUCAGACUCAUCCAAACCAGCAAUAUCAUCAGCAGCGCCCGCAACGCAUGAGGCAAAUGCCAAUACCCUCCCUAACAUUUACUACUGCUGACACCAACGCUGAUCAAAAUUGCUUUAAGGCUACCCUACCCUAUCGGACGCAAACAUUUAAGAUUCUAGGGCAGGCUAAAAUUGAGUUACAAGACAUAAAAUUUUGAGAAAAGUAUUUUUUGAGCUAGUAUACUAAAUAUUAGUAUUUAAAUAUAUAUUAGUUUCCUCCAAGUCUUUGUAAAUUAAAUUACACAUAAAAAAGAAGAAUACAUAAUAAUUAACAUUA
Drosophila miranda is the source of this 613-nucleotide long non-coding RNA. RefSeq lists it as uncharacterized. The record is from RefSeq and is a predicted model, not a curated record. Lineage: Eukaryota; Metazoa; Arthropoda; Insecta; Diptera; Drosophilidae. The transcript has 2 exons.